GCAGGAAUGGCGGAAUGGUAUACGCGUCAGAUUUAGGAUCUGAAUUUUGAAGGUUCGAGUCCUUCUUCCUGUA
RNAcentral lists this transfer RNA (73 nucleotides) under Flavobacteriales bacterium. RNAcentral's name for it is "tRNA-Leu". It matches the Rfam family "tRNA". Rfam says of the family: Transfer RNA (tRNA) molecules are approximately 80 nucleotides in length. Their secondary structure includes four short double-helical elements and three loops (D, anti-codon, and T loops). The record is from RNAcentral. Lineage: Bacteria; Pseudomonadati; Bacteroidota; Flavobacteriia; Flavobacteriales.